CGGACGGGUGAGUAACGCGUGGGUAACCUGCCUUGUACAGGGGGAUAACAGUUGGAAACGGCUGCUAAUACCGCAUAAGCGCACGGCAUCGCAUGAUGCAGUGUGAAAAACUCCGGUGGUAUAAGAUGGACCCGCGUUGGAUUAGCUGGUUGGUGAGGUAACGGCCCACCAAGGCGACGAUCCAUAGCCGACCUGAGAGGGUGACCGGCCACAUUGGGACUGAGACACGGCCCAA
Molecule: ribosomal RNA, 235 nt
Filed under: uncultured bacterium
Lineage: Bacteria
Description: partial 16S ribosomal RNA
Rfam family: Bacterial small subunit ribosomal RNA
Source: RNAcentral